UGGGGAAUUUUGCACAAUGGGCGGAAGCCUGAUGCAGCGACGCCGUGUGGGGGAUGAAGGCCUUCGGGUUGUAAACUCCUUUCGUCAGGGACGAAGUUUGUUUGACGGUACCUGGAUAAGAAGCACCGGCUAACUACGUGCCAGCAGCCGCGGUAAUACGUAGGGUGCGAGCGUUGUCCGGAUUUACUGGGCGUAAAGGGCUUGUAGGUGGUGUGUUGCGUCGUCUGUGUAAUCCAGGGGCUUAACUUUUGGUUGGCAGGCGAUACGGGCAUUGCUUGAGUGCUGUAGGGGAGACUGGAAUUCCUGGUGUAGCGGUGAAAUGCGCAGAUAUCAGGAGGAACACCGAUGGCGAAGGCAGGUCUCUGGGCAGUUACUGACGCUGAGGAGCGAGAGCAUGGGUAGCGAACAGG
This 410-nucleotide ribosomal RNA is filed under the name bacterium. Its description in RNAcentral is "partial 16S ribosomal RNA". It matches the Rfam family "Bacterial small subunit ribosomal RNA", at positions 355 to 776 of the family's 1533-position model. The record is from RNAcentral.